Molecule: ribosomal RNA, 328 nt
Filed under: Escherichia sp. BV25
Lineage: Bacteria; Pseudomonadati; Pseudomonadota; Gammaproteobacteria; Enterobacterales; Enterobacteriaceae
Description: bacterial SSU rRNA
Rfam family: Bacterial small subunit ribosomal RNA
Source: RNAcentral
GUGUGAAAUGUUGGGUUAAGUCCCGCAACGAGCGCAACCCUUAUCCUUUGUUGCCAGCGGUCCGGCCGGGAACUCAAAGGAGACUGCCAGUGAUAAACUGGAGGAAGGUGGGGAUGACGUCAAGUCAUCAUGGCCCUUACGACCAGGGCUACACACGUGCUACAAUGGCGCAUACAAAGAGAAGCGACCUCGCGAGAGCAAGCGGACCUCAUAAAGUGCGUCGUAGUCCGGAUUGGAGUCUGCAACUCGACUCCAUGAAGUCGGAAUCGCUAGUAAUCGUGGAUCAGAAUGCCACGGUGAAUACGUUCCCGGGUCUUGUACACACCGA